GAUGAAGAACGUAGCGAAAUGCGAUACGUAAUGUGAAUUGCAAAUUCAGUGAAUCAUCGAGUCUUUGAACGCACAUUGCGCCCCCUGGUAUUCCGGGGGGCAUGCCUGUCCGAGCGUCAUUGCUGCCCUCAAGCACGGCUUGUGUGUUGGGCCCCGUCCUCCGAUCCCGGGGGACGGGCCCGAAAGGCAGCGGCGGCACCGCGUCCGGUCCUCGAGCGUAUGGGGCUUUGUCACCCGCUCCGUAGGCCCGGCCGGCGCUUGCCGAUCAACCCAAAUUUUUAUCCAGGUUGACCUCGGAUCAGGUAGGGAUACCCGCUGAACUUAAGCAUAUCAAUAAGCGGAGGA
RNAcentral lists this unclassified non-coding RNA (345 nucleotides) under soil metagenome. RNAcentral's name for it is "partial contains 5.8S ribosomal RNA, internal transcribed spacer 2, and large subunit ribosomal RNA". The stretch from base 1 to 119 matches the Rfam family "5.8S ribosomal RNA", at positions 35 to 154 of the family's 154-position model. The record is from RNAcentral.